Molecule: long non-coding RNA, 1246 nt
Organism: Hipposideros armiger (great roundleaf bat)
Lineage: Eukaryota; Metazoa; Chordata; Mammalia; Chiroptera; Hipposideridae
Exons: 3
Source: RefSeq, a predicted model, not a curated record
GCCAGUGCUUCCCGCAGAGACACCCUGAGAUAGACAGUGUCCAGGGAGGUCACCCAGUGCGUCACCUGGCAGGUAACCUCUAGGGUGGCAGAGGCCACUGAUUCCAGUAACUGGAGACAAAGGAAACGUGCCCCAGCGGCGGUGUGGGCUUUUUGAGGAAAAGCCCUGCCCCAUAAAUGACGGCCCGGGUCCUGGUGACGGCAGAUGCCGUCCACAGCCGCUGCUGCCAGCUCUCUUGACCUGUGACCUCCGACUUCAUUUUCCCCGCACGGAUCAGACCUGGGCACAAGAUGUCCGGAAGCCACCCAGCGACCCCAGACAGGCAGCACAGGCCCUGAGCACACGAGGCCAACAUGGAGCAAGAGUAAACCACACGCCCUGAGCCUCGGAGCAGGGGCCUCAGUCUCCUGUGCGGUGGGUGCUGUCCCAGAACAAGACAUGUGCUUUUAGGUGCAUAAAAUAAAAUGCAUGGGCUUACAAGGAAAAUGAAUGCCAUUGAAUAGUUGUCAGAACACUGACAGUCAAACCUGUGGUGGUGGUAUACGCCUGCUUCUUAUUAUCAAUGCAUUAAGUGAGAAGAUCUAGCCACAGGUCUGCCAGUUGCCAGAAUUCAGAAGUUGUCAUAACCAGAAACAACCUCUCGGCAUCUCUGCAAAAAGUCCCUGGAAUGGCUACAACUCCUGGGGCUUGUCGCCUCUGUUUCUGAUGGAAGGAACUGCUAACCUUUGUAGAAGUUGGUGAAAUUAAAGGUGUGCUGGCUCCCCACUCAAGGUCACGGACCCGAGGUAGGGACCCCCUGCAGUGGUUGGAUGCAUGGUAAAGAACACCAUUUCCUUGAAAGUUUGGUUUGCAAAAGCUGGGGUCCUGGGGUGCAGCAAUAAUCCAGGCAGGAAAACCCCCUCCUCAGGGGCCUAUGGUCCCGGGGGUGACAGGACAGGAGUUAAUUCAGGAAAGCCUCUACUUAAUUUAGUGGAAUAAGUGUUAAGGAGAAAGGUGACAAAGGUGGGCUGCCCUCCUGGGCACCGGAUGGCCAGGAAGAGCCGCACUGAGGGCACAGCCUGCAGGUGCCCCACAGGGUCCUGCGUGCUGACCGGGGAAAAUCCUAGCAACUUUCUCCAGGAAACAUCGUUUCCCAGGAAAACCAAAAGCCGUAAGAAACAUUCUCCAUGAAGAGCAAUGCUGAUUUUUUUUAAUGCUUUGAUAAAGCCACAGGACUUUUUUUUUAUAACAGCUUUAUUGAGAAAUA